RNAcentral lists this ribosomal RNA (496 nucleotides) under uncultured bacterium. Its description in RNAcentral is "partial 16S ribosomal RNA". It matches the Rfam family "Bacterial small subunit ribosomal RNA", at positions 29 to 507 of the family's 1533-position model. The record is from RNAcentral.
AUGAACACUGGCGGCGUGCCUAAUACAUGCCAGUCGAGCGAACAGACGAGGAGCUUGCUCCUCUGACGUUAGCGGCGGACGGGUGAGUAACACGUGGAUAACCUACCUAUAAGACUGGGAUAACUUCGGGAAACCGGAGCUAAUACCGGAUAAUAUAUUGAACCGCAUGGUUCAAUAGUGAAAGACGGUUUUGCUGUCACUUAUAGAUGGAUCCGCGCCGCAUUAGCUAGUUGGUAAGGUAACGGCUUACCAAGGCGACGAUGCGUAGCCGACCUGAGAGGGUGAUCGGCCACACUGGAACUGAGACACGGUCCAGACUCCUACGGGAGGCAGCAGUAGGGAAUCUUCCGCAAUGGGCGAAAGCCUGACGGAGCAACGCCGCGUGAGUGAUGAAGGUCUUCGGAUCGUAAAACUCUGUUAUUAGGGAAGAACAAAUGUGUAAGUAACUAUGCACGUCUUGACGGUACCUAAUCAGAAAGCCACGGCUAACUACGUG